RNAcentral lists this ribosomal RNA (768 nucleotides) under uncultured Bacteroidota bacterium. Its description in RNAcentral is "bacterial SSU rRNA". It matches the Rfam family "Bacterial small subunit ribosomal RNA", at positions 561 to 1334 of the family's 1533-position model. Lineage: Bacteria; Pseudomonadati; Bacteroidota. The record is from RNAcentral.
UAAAGGGUGCGCAGGCGGGAUGGUAAGUCAGUGGUGAAAGCCCGAGGCUUAACUUCGGGAUUGCCAUUGAAACUACCCUUCUUGAGUACAGUCGAAGACGGCGGAAUGAGUCAUGUAGCGGUGAAAUGCAUAGAUAUAACUCAGAACACCGAUUGCGAAGGCAGCUGUCUAGGCUGAGACUGACGCUGAGGCACGAAAGCGUGGGGAGCGAACAGGAUUAGAUACCCUGGUAGUCCACGCUGUAAACUAUGAUCACUCGCUGUUGGCAAUAUAAAGUCAGCGGCUGAGCGAAGGCAUUAAGUGAUCCACCUGGGGAGUACGUCGGCAACGAUGAAACUCAAAGGAAUUGACGGGGGCCCGCACAAGCGGAGGAACAUGUGGUUUAAUUCGAUGAUACGCGAGGAACCUUACCUGGGCUUAAAUGUAGAGUGCAUGGAGGGGAAACCUUCCUUUCCUUCGGGACUCUUUACAAGGUGCUGCAUGGUUGUCGUCAGCUCGUGCCGUGAGGUGUCGGGUUAAGUCCCAUAACGAGCGCAACCCCUAUCGUUAGUUGCCAUCAGGUCAUGCUGGGGACUCUAGCGAGACUGCCGGUGUAAACCGGAGGAAGGUGGGGAUGACGUCAAAUCAGCACGGCCCUUACGCCCAGGGCUACACACGUGUUACAAUGGCCGGAACAAAGAGCAGCUCCUACGCGAGUAGAUGCUAAUCUCUAAAACCGGUCUCAGUUCGGAUCGGAGUCUGCAAUUCGACUCCGUGAAGGUGGAUUCG